Malus domestica (apple) is the source of this 4739-nucleotide non-coding RNA. The record is from RefSeq and is a predicted model, not a curated record. Lineage: Eukaryota; Viridiplantae; Streptophyta; Magnoliopsida; Rosales; Rosaceae.
UUAUUCUUAUAUUUUUCUCAGAAAAUAAGAAUCAAAGGUGCUUGCUUUUUAAUUUUUGUCCUCCGUUGCGUGUUUGUGACUUUGUGCACAUGCUCAGUAAGAAGUAGUACAAUUUCAAUUUUUCUGUACUAAAAUCUGAUCUAGUCUCAGGUUCAACUAUAGAUCAGAUUCGCUCUCUGCUCUGUAAUCAAAUACUCGUUGGCUCCAUUUUGGCUUCGUUCUCUUCUCUCUAAGAGAGAGAUGGAGUUGAUUGAGUUCAUUCAAGUUUUCACAUCAUCGUCAUCGCCAUCGGGACUCUGUUGUGCAUGUUGGGUAGAUCAUUGACAUUUUCUACGUCGACUUCUUCUUCUUCUGGUGCUGCUGAUGCUGUUGUUGAGGAUAACAAUGAUGAUGAUGAUGUUGCUAUCCCCCCUCUUCGAGAAAAGUAUGAUGUGUUUCUUAGUUUCAGAGGUGAGGACACUCGCCCUACUUUUACCAGCCAUCUUCGUGCUGCUUUGGAAAGGAAGAAAUUCGAAACCUACAUAGACGAAAAGCUGAAGCCAGGAGACGAAAUUGGACCCACCCUACUAAAAGCAAUCAAGAAAUCAAGGCUUUCGGUGAUAAUUUUCUCCAAAAACUAUGCGUCUUCCACAUGGUGUUUGAGUGAACUUGUGCAUAUACUCAAAUGCAGAAAGAAAAAAGGCCAGAUGGUUGUACCCAUUUUUUACGACAUCAAUCCAUCAGAUGUGCGAAAACAAGAGGGGAGUUAUGCAGAUGCAUUUGCUCAACUUGAAAAACGUUUCAAGGACGGUAUGGGCAAGGUGCGCAAGUGGAGGAAAGCUUUGAGGACUGCAGCCAAUAUUUCUGGGUUCGAUAAUUCAAACAAAAAAAGGACGGAGGCCGAUUUAAUUGAGAAACUUGUGGAAGAUAUUUCAACGAAAUUGAAACGUGAAACCUCAUAUGACUUAAAUGGCCUGGUUGGAAUUCAAAGCCGCAUCGAGCAAGUUGAAUCGUUAUUAAGCAAUAAUGAUUCGCAAGGUGUUUGCACUGUAGGCAUUUGGGGUAUGGGUGGCAUUGGAAAGACCACCCUUGCUCAGGCUGUGUUCAAGAGACUCUCUUCUAAGUUCGAAGCUUGUUGUUUUCUUAGCAAUGUUAGGGAGAAAGCAGAGCAAACAGAUGGAGUCAAUCAACUGAAAAAAACACUUCUUGAAGAGAUCUUAAACGAACGGUCUAUAGAUUCGACUUCUGUUCGAGAAAGGCUCAGCCGUACAAAGGUUCUCAUUGUUUUUGAUGAUGUUAGUGACUGGAGGCAAAUAAAAGAUGUAGCUGGAGACAAUCUUCGCUACAGCGAUGGAAGUAGAAUCAUUGUAACAAGUAGAGAAUGGAGCGUACUCAUGAAAGCUGUUAAAGAGAGAAAAUAUAUAUAUCAGGUUGAGAAAUUUAAAACUGAUGAUGCUCUUCGGCUCUUUCAAUCUCAUGCCUUCAAGGAUAACUCUCCUAGAGCAGAAUAUAGAGAGUUGUCCGCAAGGGUGGUAAAAUAUGCUGGAGGCAUUCCACUGGCUCUUGAAGUUUUGGGUUCCUUAUUGUUUCCAUGUGUGAGCAAAGACGAGUGGGAAGAUGUAUUGAGCACACUGAUAAAUUAUCCCAAUGAAGAAAUUCAAAAUACGUUCAGAGUAAGCUAUAAUAGAUUAGGAAGAAAUGCGCAGGACGUAUUUCUUGAUAUAGCAUGCUUUUAUAAAGGGGAGCGUAUUGAGGAUGUACAAAAGAUGGUAGACUUUGGCCAAAUGCAUGGUGGUUCAUGUGCGGCAGAUGGAAUUAGAGUUCUCCGUGAUAGGUCUCUCAUAUCGAUUGAUUCGGCAUGGAAAACCAUAGAGAUGCAUGAUUUGGUACAAGAAAUGGGUUGGGCAAUUGUUUGCGAACAAUGUAUUGAAGAGCCCGGCAAACGUAGUAGGCUGUUCAGAGCUGAAGAUGUCUAUCAUGUAUUGAAAAAUAACACGGGAACUGAAAAGGUUCAAGCCAUAUCCUUUAACAGGUCCAUCUUUGGGCCUGGGCACAACGUGGAUCGUGCAGACUUUAAAAAUAUGUAUAAUCUGAGAUUGCUCCGUCUUGAUAGUUAUUAUACACUUCACAUGUCUAUAGAUUUCUACAAAUUUGAGCUUACUCUAUCUCUUCCCAAUUCUCUUUGUUAUCUUUCCUGGAAGGGAUGUCCUUUGAAAUCUUUGCCCCCAGAAUUUUCUCUUGAAAAUCUUGUUGAGCUUCAUAUGCCCUACAACAGAGUCACGCAACUUUGGGAUGGAGGCCAGAAUCCUAUCAACUUAAAAGUGCUCAAUCUUCAUUCCUCCUUGUGUCUGACUGCACUUCCACACCUCUCGAGGAGUCCAAAUAUCGAGCACAUGGAUCUUUCUGGAUGUAAAAGUUUGGUUGAAAUUCCUCAGUAUUUUAAAAAUCUUAACAAACUUACUUAUCUUGAUCUUUCAAUGUGCGAGCGUCUCGAAUAUCUUCCAGAGAUGCCAGGCAAUAUUGAAUUCUUAAGAUUACAAGGCAGUGGCAUAAAGGAGUUGCCGUCAUCAGUUUGGUCUCAUGAAAAAAUUUCUUCCUUGGAUAUUACAUUUUGUGAAGAACUUAAGGAACUUCCAAGCAACACUUGCAAGCUGAAAGUCUCUGGUGCUUUUAGUCUAUAUGGCUGCUGCUCUCUUGAAAAGGUUUGGGAGCUUCCCAGGGGUAUUGGUGAAUUAGAUUGGUCUCGCACAGCAAUAAAAGUAUUGCCCACAUCAUCAAUGGAGCGUCUCUCUUGUCUCACCAGACUUAAACUGCAUUGUUGCAUUUAUCUUGCAAGUCUCCCACGGAGCAUUUGUAAGUUGAAAUCUCUUGAGGAACUUGAUCUCACUGGUUGCUAUGAACUAAAAGUUGUUCCAAGUAGCAUCUACAAAUUAACAAAUAUCAAAAUGCUCAGCUUUAGUUACUGUCGGAAACUUCGAAAUUUUACUCAGCCGACUGGCUCAGUUGGUUUUCUCUCUCUUGAAGUACUAGACCUCAAAUACAGCGGUAUAUUAGAAAUCCCUGAGGGCUUCAUUUGCUCAACCUCAUUACGGGUUCUUAAGCUGGAAGGAACCAAAAUUCGGAGCAUACCCUCAAGCAUUAAACAAGCUCCUCAGCCGACUGGCUCAGUUGGUUUUCUCUCUCUUGAAGUACUAAACCUCAAAUACAGCGGUAUAUUAGAAAUCCCCGAGGGCUUCAUUUGCUCAACCUUAUUACGGGCUCUUAAGCUGGAAGGAACCAAAAUUCGGAGCAUACCCUCAAGCAUGAAACAAGCUUCUCAGCUGUCUUGCCUGUGCUUAAUCGGCUGCACGAGGCUUCAAUCUUUACCAGAGCUCCCAAUGCUCAGUUGUCUUCAAGCAAAUGGCUGCAAGUCACUGAAGACAGUGUCGAGUUCAAGGACUGCAAUUACACAAUGUUGGAAUAGAUGUGAAUUACUUCAAGAGCUACUUGACUUUUCGGGUUGCCCAAGGUUGGGUGAUGAUGCAAGGAGCAGCAUAAUGGUUGAUGCACAGCUUAGAAUCAUGCGAGUGGCAACUGCGGCUUCAAAGUUAAAAGAAGAGGAAGAUUACGAUGAGUCUUCUGAGCCCUUUGUUAUCAUUGUGUGUCCGGGAUCUGAACUUCCAAAUUGGUUCGUACAUCAAAAUGAGGGGGCUUCAAUAAAUGUCACACUUCCUGCAAAUUGGUUUCGUGAAGGCUUCUUGGGUUUCGCUCUAUCUGUUGUUACAGCCAAAGCAUUAUUGUUCUGUGAAUACAUGUUCACUUUCAAAACUGAAGAGGGGGAAAGUCUUGAAAUCAAUUGUGUGCGCGAUGUUCUGGAAACCGAACCUUCAGAGAAUGUGUGGGUAUGGUAUACAGAACUUGAAUAUGAAGAGGGAGCAAACUGGUCCUCUGCUUUUUUCGACCGUGUCACUAAGGUCUCUGUUCACUUCCAACCGAAAACAUUAUUCGAUCAUGAAGUGAAAAAGUGUGGGAUAUGCCUGUUGUAUGCCGAAGAUGCUGAGAAAUUAAAAUUUGAUGUCAUGUCGCUACAAGAACAAUAUGAGCCUGCAGCAAGUAGGAGUGGUGAUCCUGAAGCCAGUGGAAGUGAUGAAUCUGAGGAAUUAAGUGGAAGCGAUGAAUCUGAGGAAGCAAGUGGAAGCGAUGACUAUGAGGGAGAAAGUGGAAGCGACGAGGAAGCAAGCGAUGAGUCUGAGGAAGCAAGUGGAAGCGAUGACUAUGAGGGAGAAAGUGGAAGCGACGAGGAAGCAAGUGAUGAGUCUGAGGAAGCAAGUGGAAGAGAUAAGUAGGAGCAAGCAAGUGGACAUGACGAGUCUUUUGCUGGUUCAAGCCUCUCCUAAACUUCAAUCAAAGAAAUAGUUAAAGAUAGAAAAUCGAGUUCAUCCAGUAUUCAACCACAAUUCCACAAUACAAUAGAAGGUACAACUUUGCAGCGCUACCACAUUUAUGACCUUACUAUAUGAUCUACUUUCUUGGGGCUCAUUUGAUGUCUAGGACUCGGUAGACUCAAACAGCGUUGAAUAAAAAAUGGAUGUACACUUGCAUACUUUGUCACUAGCUAGUGUUGUUAGUUUACAUGCUCUUUUGUGUGUGCUGUGUGGAUUUGCAGGUUAUGAGUUAUAUAUAGAUACAUCAUAGCUAUAAUCUAUGCCAAGAACAUUUGCAUAUUGCGACUUGUCGGUUUUCUUAGGUAAUGGAUACGACUGCUUCUUUGCUUUUGCUAU